Molecule: small nuclear RNA, 20 nt
Filed under: Arabidopsis thaliana (thale cress)
Lineage: Eukaryota; Viridiplantae; Streptophyta; Magnoliopsida; Brassicales; Brassicaceae
Description: snRNA_00117
Source: RNAcentral
AUCGAAUAUCCGGAACACAA